This 488-nucleotide ribosomal RNA is filed under the name uncultured bacterium. RNAcentral describes it as "partial 16S ribosomal RNA". It matches the Rfam family "Bacterial small subunit ribosomal RNA", at positions 28 to 507 of the family's 1533-position model. The record is from RNAcentral.
GACGAACGCUGGCGGCGUGCUUAACACAUGCGAGUCGAACGGAAAGGCCCUGCUUUUGUGGGGUGCUCGAGUGGCGAACGGGUGAGUAACACGUGAGUAACCUGCCCUUGACUUUGGGAUAACUUCAGGAAACUGGGGCUAAUACCGGAUAGGAGCUCCUGCUGCAUGGUGGGGGUUGGAAAGUUUCGGCGGUUGGGGAUGGACUCGCGGCUUUUCAGCUAGUUGGUGGGGUAGUGGCUUACCAAGGCUUUGACGGGUAGCCGGCAUGAGAGGAUGACAGGGCACAGUGGAAAUGAGAGAGGGUCCAGAGUCAGACGGGAGGCAGCAGUGGGGAAUAUUGGACAAUGGGCGAAAGCCUGAUCAAGCCAGGACGCGUGGGUGAAGAAGGUCUUCGGAUGGUAAAGCACUGUAGGUGGGGAGGAAAAGAAGUAGGGUAAUAACUAGCUGUUAUGACGGUACCAAAAGAAGAAGAAAAGGAUAAAUUCGUG